UACGAAGGGUGCUAGCGUUGUUCGGAAUUACUGGGCGUAAAGCGCACGUAGGCGGAUCCUUAAGUCGGAGGUGAAAUCCCGGAGCUCAACUCCGGAACUGCCUUCGAUACUGGGGAUCUUGAGGUCGAGAGAGGUGAGUGGAAUUCCGAGUGUAGAGGUGAAAUUCGUAGAUAUUCGGAGGAACACCAGUGGCGAAGGCGGCUCACUGGCUCGAUACUGACGCUGAGGUGCGAAAGCGUGGGGAGCAAACAGG
Molecule: ribosomal RNA, 253 nt
Filed under: uncultured bacterium
Lineage: Bacteria
Description: partial 16S ribosomal RNA
Rfam family: Bacterial small subunit ribosomal RNA
Source: RNAcentral